UUAGUAUAUUAAGAUAAAUAUUCUGUUAGUUUUCAAGGCUAAAAGUACUAAU
Molecule: transfer RNA, 52 nt
Filed under: Trichonephila clavata
Lineage: Eukaryota; Metazoa; Arthropoda; Arachnida; Araneae; Nephilidae
Description: tRNA-Trp
Source: RNAcentral